This is a small nuclear RNA of Pipistrellus kuhlii (Kuhl's pipistrelle), 162 nucleotides long. RefSeq annotates it as U1 spliceosomal RNA. Lineage: Eukaryota; Metazoa; Chordata; Mammalia; Chiroptera; Vespertilionidae. The transcript has a single exon. The record is from RefSeq and is a predicted model, not a curated record.
AUACUUACUUGGCAGGGGAGAUACCAUGAUCACGAAGGUGGUUUCCCCAGGGUGAGGCCUAUUGAUUGCAUGUCAGAUGUGCUGACCCCUGCGAUUUCCCCAAAAGUGGGAAAUUCAACUGUGUGACUUGUGAUAGUGGGGGACUGCAUUGGCAUUCUCCUC